AAGCAUGCACCCUCGUCCCUCCCACCCGCGCGAUUAAAUAUAGUUCGGAGGGAACUUACAAAGUUGCUACACAAAGAGGCGCGAAACCAAUCCCUCGAAAAAAGCUCUCCAUAUUUAGAAACUUCUCGGUUCUCGCCAUGGCCGUUUGUUUCUUCUUUCCGUUCUUCUUCUUAUUCUUCUCUCUCUAUCUCUGUCUCUCCGUCUCUCUGCAUUUUUCAUCGCCAAAUGCAUGGAGCUUCGUCGAUGUCUCUUUCGGAUUCUGAUGAUUCAAGCCGAAUCAAUCACUGCUUUCCACACUUGGAUCAUGGAUUUGUGAUUCUCAACUGUUUGAAGCUUCAUAUCUUGUAAAGUAGCUGACCACGCAAAUAGCUUCCUGGAUUUAAUGUCAAGUGCGUACAGUAUUCGCUCAGGCAUGUUAUGAUCCUGUUUGGCGGUGCUGCACACUGUUUCAUUUUUGAGUUACGGAUGAUCAGAACCCUUGGUACAUCAUGGCAAGGCUUAUCAACUAUCAAGGUGAUCAUCUUCUCACUAUGGGUGGUAUGAAAUCAUUUGUAUGUUUCUAAAUAUUGAAACAUACCUUGUUAGCAUGAAGAUGAGAUGACGUUACAGGCAGAUACCUCUUUACUGAUAGUCUUUUCGCUUCUCUGAAGUUCUUAAUCUAACUACAAAUUCCUAGUAGGAGAUCCUUUUUAUUAAGGUACACAGAUAAAAUGAAAAGCCUAAGUUUGUAAGAUCCUCCCAAUUAUAUCCGAAAGGUCAUAAUUCUCUUGGAAAAUCCUUUCAUUUCCUUUUCCAUAUCUCCCACAAGAUUGCUCUUACUACAUUCUUCCUUUGUGAGAUGAUCAUAAAGAGUUCUUGUAAAGAAAUACUCCUUAGUUCUUUGGAAUCAUGAUAGGCAUGAGUAUUGGAGGGGAUGAAAUCUAAUGGAAACAGGCCAAUGAAAUUGCUACAAGUGAUGCAUUUAACAAAUAGUUAGGAAGUAAGUUAACUUUAACAGUGCUAGCUAACUUUUACUAUGCCCUUGGAAAAGAUAUGUUUUCUGUAUAGGUGGGUUUAGUAGGUUGAAUAACCAAUCAAUACACAGAAAUACCUAUUGGCUCGUUAGACACAACACCUAAUUGCUCCCUGAAAAACAACUAGCCAGACCAUAAGGUUGUUUGGGAUGAAAUUUUCAAAUUGCCUUCCCCUUUUACUUGGCUCCCUCCAACAUUGGUUUUAUUGUGUUUAGGUCUCUUGGUUGAAACCCUAGCUUCCCGAGGUAAUUCAUAGGAUGUAUUGACAAGGCGAACUUAAGUAUAGCUCUUAAGGUUAGAGAUUCGAAUUUUCCUACCCACAAGCCGAACUUCAGUGUAAAAAAGCUCCUUAUAAAUCAUUUCCAACAACAUUUAUCAACUAAAUCUCAGCUUUUCCAUGAUGAGUUGGUCAUAGAGGUAAUGGUAAGAUUUAUAUUUUUCCAAUUUUUGGGGCACUUAAAACUAUUGAUAUUUUCCAUGCAAUAAGUUUUAAACAAGGAACAGCCUAGUUGAGGUAAUGACCUACUGUGGUUUUCCCUUCCCUCCACAUAAACCACUCUGUUAAUUGAAACACUAACUGGAACACAGGCUGUAUGCUAUAUCAAGGGAUUCUAAAAACAUAGACCUUAUUCUUUAUACCUUUAAAAGCUUUAUUAUUAAUAUACUCGAGUUUUGAGCCCCUCUAAAAGAAUAUAAAAAUGAAAAUAAAGGAGAGAAAAGAAACAAAGCAAAAAAAGAAAAUGAAGCCUUAGUAUUUAAGGACAUGCUUUACGGUCUUUUCUGCAGUAUUUUGUAAGUACUGCCUGAGCCUACCAUUUACGGUAAAGCUGAUCUGAUUUUGGUUUGUUGUGUUUUUCAAUUUAAAUUAAGAUUUAGAUGUUAUAAAUUGCUUAAAAUUGUUUAAGCUUUUUAUUUAGACAAAGUUAACUAUCUUGUUUCGUUAUGCUAUAUUUUUAUACAAUAUGAUAUACAUCAAAAUGUCUUACAAAAAUAUAAAAAUUUUAGAUUUAUCUUAAGAAAUUUGUUUAUUAGUUGAAAUGGUCUUAUUAUACAUAUUUACAACACACACACACACACACACACACACAAUAAGAUGGAAACUCAAAGAAAUUAAUUAGAUAAAUCUUCAUUUCUUAAUUUUAUUACAUUUUUUACCCCAAAUAUACAGCGUCCGACAAUUUAACACCGUGGAAAAAAACAAUUUAUUUUUAAAAUUUGUUUCAUGAAAUUGAUUUACUAAAGCAUUAUUUAUUUAUAUAUUAUUAUUGAUUACUGGUUUUUUCAGCCCAAACAUUAUCUUCUAAAAUGUUUAUCAAUUAAAUUCGAAGUGAUUCCCUGUGAUUAUGAACUGCUGUUUUCUAAAUAUUAGGAUUACAAGUAUUAAUUGAAAAAUUAAUUAUUUUAAAUUUGUAAGUUCUUAUUUUAGUUUUUCAAAUUUGUUUUUAAAGCCAGUUCAUUAUAAACCUUCUCGUAUAAGUUUAUUUUAUUUUACAAG
This is a long non-coding RNA of Cucurbita pepo subsp. pepo (vegetable marrow), 2508 nucleotides long. RefSeq lists it as uncharacterized. NCBI's taxonomy places the organism in Eukaryota, Viridiplantae, Streptophyta, Magnoliopsida, Cucurbitales, Cucurbitaceae. The record is from RefSeq and is a predicted model, not a curated record.